This 439-nucleotide ribosomal RNA is filed under the name uncultured bacterium. RNAcentral's name for it is "partial 16S ribosomal RNA". It matches the Rfam family "Bacterial small subunit ribosomal RNA", at positions 339 to 795 of the family's 1533-position model. The record is from RNAcentral.
CUACGGGUGGCUGCAGUGGGGAAUCUUAGACAAUGGGCGCAAGCCUGAUCUAGCCAUGCCGCGUGAGUGAUGAAGGCCUUAGGGUCGUAAAGCUCUUUCGCUGGGGAAGAUAAUGACGGUACCCAGUAAAGAAACCCCGACUAACUCCGUGCCAGCAGCCGCGGUAAUACGGAGGGGGUUAGCGUUGUUCGGAAUUACUGGGCGUAAAGCGCGCGUAGGCGGACUGUUAGGUCGGGGGUGAAAUCCCGGGGCUCAACCCCGGAACGGCCUUCGAUACUGGCAGUCUGGAGUUCGAGAGAGGUGAGUGGAAUUCCGAGUGUAGAGGUGAAAUUCGUAGAUAUUCGGAGGAACACCAGUGGCGAAGGCGGCUCACUGGCUCGAUACUGACGCUGAGGUGCGAAAGUGUGGGGAGCAAACAGGAUUAGAUACCCGUGUAGUC